Molecule: ribosomal RNA, 254 nt
Filed under: uncultured bacterium
Lineage: Bacteria
Description: partial 16S ribosomal RNA
Rfam family: Bacterial small subunit ribosomal RNA
Source: RNAcentral
GACGAACCGUGCGAACGUUAUUCGGAAUCACUGGGCUUAAAGCGCGUGUAGGCGGACCGGCACGUCAGUCGCUGAAAUCCCCCGGCUCAACCGGGGAACUGGCGUUGAUACGACCGGUCUGGAGGGGGGUAGGGGGGACGGGAACUCACGGUGGAGCGGUGAAAUGCGUUGAGAUCGUGAGGAACGCCCGUGGCGAAAGCGCGUCCCUGGACCCCACCUGACGCUGAGACGCGAAAGCCAGGGGAGCGAACGGG